UGGGCUUGACAUCUACGAGAAACCCCGGCUUUCACCGGGGUUUCUCGUAGAUGUCAAGCCCAGGUAAGGUUCUUCGCGUUGCUUCGAAUUAAACCACAUGCUCCACCGCUUGUGCGGGCCCCCGUCAAUUCCUUUGAGUUUCAGCCUUGCGGCCGUACUCCCCAGGCGGGGCACUUAUCGCGUUAGCUGCGACACGGAAGGGGUCGAUCCCACCCGCGUCUAGUGCCCAUCGUUUACGGCGUGGACUAC
This 249-nucleotide unclassified non-coding RNA is filed under the name uncultured Gemmatimonadota bacterium. Its description in RNAcentral is "uncultured Gemmatimonadetes bacterium contains 16S-23S intergenic spacer region". The record is from RNAcentral. Lineage: Bacteria; Pseudomonadati; Gemmatimonadota.